UUUCCGGUUGAUCCCGCCGGACCCUACUGCUAUCGGGGGAGGACUAAAACAUGCAAGUCGUGCGCCUCCAAGCCAUGGUGGAGACGCGGCAUACGGCUCAGUAACACGUGGCUAACCCACCCUUGAGACGGGGAAAACCCCGGGAAGCUGGGGCUAAUCCUCGAUGGGAGAAGACACCUGGAACGGGUCUCCUCUCAAAGGGCGCCUAGACCACGCUUCUAGACGCUGCUCAAGGACGGGGCCGCGGCCGAUCAGGUUGUUGGUGAGGUAACGGCUCACCAAGCCUAUAACCGGUACGGGCCGUGAAAGCGGGAGCCCGGAGAUGGGCACUGAGACAAGGGCCCAGGCCCUACGGGGCGCAGCAGUUGCGAAAACUCCGCAAUGCACGAAAGUGUGACGGGGCUACCCCGAGUGCCGUCCGCUGAGGGCGGCUUUUCCCCGGUGUAAGGAGCCGGGGGAAUAAGGAGAGGGCAAGUCUGGUGUCAGCCGCCGCGGUAAUACCAGCUCUCCGAGUGGUAGGGAUGAUUAUUGGGCUUAAAGCGUCCGUAGCCGGCUCGGCAAGUCUUCCGUUAAAUCCAACGAUUCAAUCGCUGGACUGCGGGAGAUACUGCUGGGCUAGGAGGCGGGAGAGGCCGACGGUAUUCUCGGGGUAGGGGUAAAAUCCUAUAAUCCCGGGAAGACCACCAGUGGCGAAGGCGGUCGGCUAGAACGCGCUCGACGGUGAGGGACGAAAGCUGGGGGAGCGAACCGGAUUAGAUACCCGGGUAGUCCCAGCUGUAAACGAUGCGGGCUAGGUGUUGGGGCGGCUACGGGCCGCUUCAGUGCCGCAGGGAAACCAUUAAGCCCGCCGCCUGGGGAGUACGGCCGCAAGGCUGAAACUUAAAGGAAUUGGCGGGGGAGCACCACAAGGCGUGAAGCUUGCGGUUUAAUUGGAGUCAACGCCGGA
Molecule: ribosomal RNA, 946 nt
Filed under: uncultured crenarchaeote
Lineage: Archaea; Thermoproteati; Thermoproteota
Description: bacterial SSU rRNA
Rfam family: Archaeal small subunit ribosomal RNA
Source: RNAcentral